CUGGGCUAGAAAAAGCGGAAGCGCCCCCGGGGCAGGCUGGGAGAUGUAGUUCCUGACUCUCCCUGGACCGGAAGUGACGUUAGGUGGGAGAGCACAAGCAGAGCUGCAAACGCGCGCGAGUCGCUCCGGCUCUGCCUGGCUCGCGCAGGGCCGUUGGAGCCUCUCCCGGGGCCAGAGAAGGGCUACAGAAUAACGUCCAUGUUUUGCUUCAGAUCAUCCCAUCCUCCCAGGGGGAAGGAAAUGGCUGCAAUGGAGCUGGCUCAGGGGCCAGUGACCUUCGAGGAGGUGGCU
Gopherus evgoodei (Goodes thornscrub tortoise) is the source of this 291-nucleotide long non-coding RNA. RefSeq lists it as uncharacterized. Lineage: Eukaryota; Metazoa; Chordata; Testudines; Testudinidae. The transcript is spliced from 3 exons. The record is from RefSeq and is a predicted model, not a curated record.